This 1016-nucleotide long non-coding RNA is filed under the name Mytilus galloprovincialis (Mediterranean mussel). Lineage: Eukaryota; Metazoa; Mollusca; Bivalvia; Mytilida; Mytilidae. The record is from RNAcentral.
UUCUGCAGAUGAUGGCAACCUCUAUACCUUCAUGUGGUGUAUGUGAAUAUCGACAGAUCUACAAAUUAGCCUCCAUAUGGUGUUCGGAUUGCGACGAAGGCCUCUGUCUUGAUUGCAAUGAGCAUCAUGGGAUUUCCAAAGCAACUAGAAAGCACGGUACUAUACCGAUAUCAGAUUAUCAAACACUGCCUGAUUAUAUUAAGAAUAUUAAGCAGAACACGCUGGUGUCCAUUGAGAAUAUACAAACAGAAUUACAACAAACUAUAAACACCAUAGCAGACGCCAGAGGAUGUUGCUUAUUGCCUGAUUGUAGGAUGGUAUUUACCUAUCCUACUAUAAACAAAGUAUCUGUUGUUAAACAAGAUGGAUCUGUUGAUUUUUCUAUGAGUGUAACAGCAGCAUAUGGUAUAGCAUACAACGAUACAGAUACCACUUUGGCUAUAUCAUCCUGUUGGAAUGAUAUUGGCAAUCAAAUAACAAUAAUUGAGUUAACGAAACAAAAAGUAAAGAAAACAAUUACUCCUAUUGGACAAACCAUGGGAAUAGCAGCAACCUAUAAAACACUGGUUUAUCACAUAUACAACAACUCAAUUCGGACCAUGGACCUUACCGACGAAUCAACACGUGAUUUAAAUACUGAGAACAUGGACACGGAAAUUAACAUAGCAGUAUCUGGGCACAAACUUUGUUAUUGCAGUUGUAUGUAUCAUACAGUAGUGUGUUGCGAUCUGAACGGCACAAAUCAAUGGUCAUUCAAGGAUGCAAAUCUUUUAAAGCAUCCAUAUGGGAUAUCUGUUGACAAUGAUGGUAAUGUGUAUGUUAUAGGCCAUGGAACGCAGAACGUCGUAGUUAUCACACACGAUGGACAAAAAUAUAGGGAACUCCUAUCAUGGAAAGAUGGUUUAACAUUGCCAUAUGCAAUUAACUUUGGACGUGCAACUAACCAUUUAUUAGUUGCAGCUAAUAACUGUAAAGUAUAUCUGUACAAGGUAUCCAGUGUUUAAGUAAAUAAACAC